Molecule: long non-coding RNA, 367 nt
Filed under: Ananas comosus (pineapple)
Lineage: Eukaryota; Viridiplantae; Streptophyta; Magnoliopsida; Poales; Bromeliaceae
Description: long non-coding RNA (ACOM_LNC019067)
Source: RNAcentral
UAUAUAUAGAGAGAGAGAGAGAGAUUGUGAGUGAUUGUUUUUUUUAAGAAUAAAUUAGCAUGUUACCCGCUUCAUUUAUUAUACAGAUGAAUUAGACUACAGGAGUGAGGCAACUGGGCCUUGAUAGAAAAAAAAAAAAAAACUACAGUGUGUGAUUGUGAGUGAUUGUUUAUUUACUUGGAUGGUUAGGAUUGUUUGUUCUUGGAGUUUUCACUUAUAUACAGUGUGUGUGUUUGAGAGCAAUUUGAGCUCGGGACAUUCAAACUCUGAUUUCAUGUAAAUGAACCAUGUUUAAAAAGUUAAGCAAUCAAAGAGCAAUAAUUUAAUAUCUCAUAUAUAUUGUUGUCGACGAAAAACACAGAAGAGA